UACGUAGGGGGCUAGCGUUGUCCGGAAUCAUUGGGCGUAAAGCGCGCGUAGGCGGCCCGAUAAGUCCGCUGUGAAAGUCAAAGGCUCAACCUUUGAAUGUCAGCGGAUACUGCCGGGCUAGAGUCCGGAAGAGGCGAGUGGAACUCCUGGUGUAGCGGUGGAAUGCGCAGAUAUCAGGAAGAACACCAACGGCGAAGGCAGCUCGCUGGGACGGAACUGACGCUGAGGCGCGAAAGCGUGGGGAGCGAACAGG
Molecule: ribosomal RNA, 253 nt
Filed under: uncultured bacterium
Lineage: Bacteria
Description: partial 16S ribosomal RNA
Rfam family: Bacterial small subunit ribosomal RNA
Source: RNAcentral